This 811-nucleotide ribosomal RNA is filed under the name Bacillus sp. (in: firmicutes). Its description in RNAcentral is "bacterial SSU rRNA". It matches the Rfam family "Bacterial small subunit ribosomal RNA", at positions 36 to 827 of the family's 1533-position model. Lineage: Bacteria; Bacillati; Bacillota; Bacilli; Caryophanales; Bacillaceae. The record is from RNAcentral.
AUGGGGGGCUGCUAAGGCUAUAAUGCAGUCGAGCGGAAGAUGGGAGCUUGCUCCCUGAUGUUAGCGGCGGACGGGUGAGUAACACGUGGGUAACCUGCCUGUAAGACUGGGAUAACUCCGGGAAACCGGGGCUAAUACCGGAUGGUUGUUUGAACCGCAUGGUUCAGACAUAAAAGGUGGCUUCGGCUACCACUUACAGAUGGACCCGCGGCGCAUUAGCUAGUUGGUGAGGUAACGGCUCACCAAGGCGACGAUGCGUAGCCGACCUGAGAGGGUGAUCGGCCACACUGGGACUGAGACACGGCCCAGACUCCUACGGGAGGCAGCAGUAGGGAAUCUUCCGCAAUGGACGAAAGUCUGACGGAGCAACGCCGCGUGAGUGAUGAAGGUUUUCGGAUCGUAAAGCUCUGUUGUUAGGGAAGAACAAGUGCCGUUCAAAUAGGGCGGCACCUUGACGGUACCUAACCAGAAAGCCACGGCUAACUACGUGCCAGCAGCCGCGGUAAUACGUAGGUGGCAAGCGUUGUCCGGAAUUAUUGGGCGUAAAGGGCUCGCAGGCGGUUUCUUAAGUCUGAUGUGAAAGCCCCCGGCUCAACCGGGGAGGGUCAUUGGAAACUGGGGAACUUGAGUGCAGAAGAGGAGAGUGGAAUUCCACGUGUAGCGGUGAAAUGCGUAGAGAUGUGGAGGAACACCAGUGGCGAAGGGGACUCUCUGGGCAGUAACUGAUUGCUGAUGAGCGAAAACGUGGGGGCAGGACAGGAAUAGAAAGCCUGGAAGUCGAAACCGUAAAAGGUAAAGGGUAAGAGGUACA